This 7763-nucleotide long non-coding RNA is filed under the name Gossypium raimondii (Peruvian cotton). Its description in RNAcentral is "long non-coding RNA (GRAI_LNC005935)". Lineage: Eukaryota; Viridiplantae; Streptophyta; Magnoliopsida; Malvales; Malvaceae. The record is from RNAcentral.
CAAGAAAGUCAAAAAUACUUCCCAUCAUGGAUUUACGAUCGAUACUAUCAUGGAGAAGAUGUAGAUUUGGGAGAUGUUACGGAUGACGAAAAGAUUAUCGUGAAGAAGAUGGUGAUAAUAGCUUCUUGGUGUGUACAAGUAAAACCUAAUGAUCGUCCUUCGAUGAGCAAAGUCUUGGAGAUGUUCGAAACGGAUGUCGACCUCCUCCAAAUGCCUCCAAAACCUUUUCAACUUCCCUUUGAAGUAGCAACGGCUACUCAAUCCUAUGCUUCAACCAAAGAUCAACCCCAUGAUAGUUCAACUGAUGAGACAUCUUAUUUACUCUAUUCUUCAAAUGAAAUUACCGUAAGUAUAUUGUAAGCUACCUUUUCAUAUAUGAUUCAUUGACCAUGGUUGGUUUAAUUUGGUUUUUUUAUUUUUAUUUUUUCUUAUAUUUCGAGCUCUGAUAUACUUUAUGAUAUGUUUGUAUAUUAUAAUCGUGUUUAAAAUGUUAUAUAUUUAUAAAAAAAAUUGCUGUAUUAAUAAUUAGAAAAUCUUAUUUUAAGUAAUGUUUUUUGGAAAAAUAAAAAUAAAAAUUUUCAUUUUAAAUAAUAUAAAACUUAUAAAUUUAUAUUAUAUUAAUUAAUUAUUAUAUUUUAUAAAAUCUAGUCAACAUAAUAAUAAUUUUUUAAUAUAUAUAAAAUAAACGAUAUAACUUUUUUGGAUUUUUAAUUAAUUAUUUAAAAAACAUAAAUUAUUUUGCUUUCGUUGACCCAUGAUAAUGUUUCAUUAGUUGAUUUAAGUUUUUUAACAUAAAAUGUAUAGAUGGAUAAUGGAUAUACAAAAUGAAAGUAUGGUAACCAAAUUAAUAAAAAAACUAAACUGAUAAAAAAUAAUUUAAAUAUCAAAAUAAUAAUUGAACUACAGGAGUCAAAGCCUAUUAAUUAAUUUUAGGGUAAAUUCCAUAGUUAGUUAUUAAACUAUAAAUAAAUUUUUGUUUUGUUCACUUACAAUUUAGUCAUUGAAUUAUUUAAUUUUUUCGUUUAAGUCACUGGACUAUUAAAAUCGAUGUUAUAUGAUUUUUCUGUUUGCUCUUUUUUCAUAGCUAGGUUUGGGUAUCAUGAAUCCGUGAAUCAAAAAUUCAAAUAGCUUAUUUCUCUGAUCUCUGACGUUGACCGUCAGAUUAACUUGGAUCUAAGGUAUAUCUUUUUACUCGUCGCUGGCUAUCGACCCACCAUAUUGACUAUGGAAUUGUUACUUAAAACUCACUGGUAGGACUUUUUUAUAUACAAAAAAAUAUUAAGAACCAAAUCACUUAAAUAAAAUUUUUUAAAUAAUUUAUUGACCAAAUUAUAACUUUUAUAAUUAAAUUAGGAAAACCAAAACUUACUCAUAAUUUAUUCACUAAUAAAGUUGAUUAGCUUCACGCGUGGACUUUCACAAAUAUUAAUAAUAGUUUGAAACCUUGGCAUACUCACUCCAAACCAUAUAAAACCAAUCAAAAAUAGAUAUAUUUUGUUAACAAAAUUCUAUCACAUUUUUUCACAAUGCUGAAACUAGAAUUACCUCCAUUAUCAAGCCUCAUCCUCAUCUUCCUUCUGUUUCUAUGUCCCCAAUCUUCCAUCUCCAGGACCCUGACCAAGCGCUGCGGCGUUACUCAGUGUGGAAACGUUAACAUCAGCCACCCUUUUCGCUUAAAAACUCAGCCGCCGGAGUGCGGCGACCGCCGCUUCGAACUCGACUGCGAAGCCGAUAUCAACCAACUCACGUUCUUCAGGCGAUAUAAUAAAUUCCAAGUCCAUGAAAUCUUCUAUGAAAAUUCAACACUUACAGUUUCGUAUCAAAAUCAGGUCACCGGUAAUUGCUCUCUUCCACCGACCGGUCGAUUCUACGAAGAUUUUUUCUUUUGUGAGAAGCUUCUCUUCCCGGCAUGGCUCAUUGACGAUGAAUCGUCGCCAGGUGUAAUUGAAGCACAACACAGCUUGAAGGAGUCAAAUGUGCCCCUUUUUCAUAGACUACCAUCAAAUCUUCUCAAUUCUAUUCAAUUACCAAGUAAGGCAUUCUGGGCCACUGGUGGUCGCCCUCCGUUCUUGCUAACAAUCUCCAUUAAUUACCACUACUUGGAGAAUUCAGUUCAGCUUCAUCUUCAAGCCUCAACUAUAGCCAAGAGAAUGAUAAACAAAAAACUUGAUUUAUAACUAGGAAAUCUGGGUUUGUUGAGCAACAUUUUCCGAGUUUUGUUUCAUCUUCGCUAAAUGGCUGAGAAAAGGCUCAUCUGCCAUCUCAGAAAACAAAAAAGGAAAAGAAGCAAGAGAAGAGAAAGAACAGAAAAAAAAAAAAAAAGCAAAGUGUUUUUAACUAAUUACAAAGAUGUUAAAUGUCAGUCACUUAAUGGGCUAACGUGUCAUAUCAGCAAUUCGUUAGUAAUUAAUAAAAUUUGUAAUAGUAGUUACUAAUUCGAACAAUUAUCUUAAUUAAAAUGACUAAAUUAAAAAAAAAUAGAAUGACCUAAAUAGAAUUAGAGUAACUAGUUUAUUUUUUUAUAAUUUCAUAUUCAUUUCAAUAUCGAUUAUUUCAUUGCCGUUAUGUUUUUAAUUUAGUUUUGCUAUUGUGUUAUUUUUGUUUUCUUUUAAACUUCUUUAAACUAAAAACAAAGAAAAACAACAUUGUUAUUUUGUCAUAUUUAAAAUUUUUUGAACUAAAAGAACAUGUAUAAAUUUUUGUUAAUUCAAUUGAUUAAUUGAAAUUAAUUCGGUUCGAUUAAUGAGUUUCAAAAAAAUUCAAUUUGGUUAAUAAUUAAAAGAUUUAAAAUUUCGGUUAAUUUGAUUAACGAUAGUUUUGUUCAAGUAUUAAUCGAAUUGACCAUUUGAAUACUCCUACCAAAUACUCGCUCAACCCAAAUACAAAAAAUAUUGUUGAAAUUUGUUGAGGGUUAGUGCUUGCCUUGGAGUGUCUCAUACGCACAAUAGACGGUAUUGUCUUUGUAGGGAUUUUGUCUUCCAUGCUCUAAGGAGAGCCUAAAGGGGUUAACGGAGUUUAAGAAGCACCUCGAUUGGUAGAGAUAUGACUUACAAGUUCAUAAAAAAGGUGUCAAUAUUGUGCAAAAUAUUAAUUAUGCACAUUGCACCUAUGGGGUUUUGAACCACCAACCAAGGCACAUAGGCCUUACCUUUGCAUCUAUGGUAUGAUAUAAUAAUACAAUUACAUAAUUUUAAAUUUAAAAAAAUAUCAAUUAUUAUAAAAAAUUUAUCAAUAAUCCUUGAAAAAAAUUCUCUAAGCAAGUAACAAAUUUUAAAAUUAAAUUAUAGUAUGUAUAUGUUCGUCUAAAGAAGUACUCCACAAUACAAUUACUAAUAAAAUUAACAAGAAAAAUAAACAUUCGAUGCAAUUUUUCUAAAUAUUAUUGCAUCCUAUUUUUGUGUUAUUCCCUUUUUAAUAUUAAACACAUACUCUUUAUUAUAAUUAGUUGAUCAUUGGUCAAUCAUAAAUGCAUGAAAACUAUCUCUCUCACCGCUAAAAAUUUUAAAAUAUUCAAACAAGAUUAAUAAAGAAAACAUAUAAUUAUAUUUUUAAAAAUAAAUAUAUGAUCUAAAUUUAAUUAUUAUUGUAUAAAAAAUAUUUUUAAACAUAAAUAACAUAAGAUGUAUUUACAAAAGCUAUAAAAUAAUUAUAUUUGAGUGUAAUUGUUUGUAAUUAUUCUUCUAAUUACUUUAAUUUUAAUUAAAAUUCUUCGAUUACAUUCAAUCCAAUGAGACAACUAAUAAUAAUUACUAAAAAUUUGAUAUAUAUAUAUAUAUAUAAUUAUAAAUAAUUACAACAAUUUGCAAUUACUAAAUGAUUCUCUAAACAUACAGUUUCUUAAUUUGAAUUUGAUAUUGUGAACUAGAAAUUUGUUAUUAAAACUUUUUAAAAAAUAGGGUAAAUGAUCAAAAUAGUUAUUUAUGUUUCCCUUAAGUUGUAUUUUAGUCACUUAUGUUUGAAAUAUUACGUAUUAGUCAUUUGCGUUAACAUGCUGUAACAUUUUAGCCACUGAUCCGUUAAUUGCCAUUAGUGGUGUAACGGUAAACUGACAUGGCACGUUAAACAAAAAAUUUAGGUUAAAUCAAACAAUCGGUCCCUAUAUCAUUUUAAGCAAUUUAUUUUUUUCUUUUAUAUUCUUUUAACUUUCCUUCUCUUUUCCUUUUUUUUUCCAUUCUCUUUUACUUCUCCGGUUCUCCCUCUAUUUUCCUCCAUUCUCCAUCUCUUUUAACGUAAAAGAAAAAAAAAUUGCUCAAAAUAAAAAAAUAUAGGGACCAAUUCUAUAAUUUAACCUAAAAUUUUCGUUUGAAAUGAUGAUUUAACGUAUCACGUCAGCUUACCGUUACACUGUUAACGAAAGUUAACCUUCAGUGACUAAAAUAUUACAACACGAUAAUAUAAGUGAUUAAAACGUAACAUUUUAAAUAUAAGUGACUUAAAUAUAACUUGAGAGAAACAAAAUUGAUUAUUUUAAUAAUUUACCUACAGAAAUUAUGAAAUAUAACGUGAUUGUUGCUCCCCUAAUCUCUUAAUAAUAAUAUUGGGAUUUGAUCUUCGUCUAUAAAAAUAAAGCUUAUUUAUUUAGAAGAGCACCUACAAAAAUGAAUUAAUCAAUUAUUAUUAUCCACAGUGGAUACCCAAAUUUCCACCGUACACAUCAUUAAGAUUUGAUCCCAUAAUAUAUGAGUACAAGAUGAACGCUAUUUCCCAAUGAUGUCAAAACCGAACAAUUCGUUUUUAUACACUGCAUUAUUUUAAUAUCAACUUGAUAAAAGGUAUCCCCCAUUCAGUUAUGGCAUUUGACUUUCUCUGUUUUCAAGGAUGGCGAUCUGGUUCAAUAUACUGUCAAAAUUUUUUGUUUCUUUCUGUACCUUCCAAUCUCUCCUCAUCCAGAUUCUGCCAUGCCAAAACCCAAACCACAGCUUCCAAUCUAUGCCCUCGUGGCCGCUAUUGUUGUUUUACUUCAAUUCCCGGAACUUUGUGUGGCCAAAACCAGAAACAAAUAUUGCAACUCAACUGUUUGUGGAAAUGUCACAAUCAGCUACCCUUUUCGAUUACCAACCCAACCUCCCAACUGCGGCGAACCUCGAUUGGAACUCGACUGCGACAGCAACAACCGCACCGUUUUAUCCUUAAACCAUGGCAGAUUCUACGUCCAAAAGAUCUGGUACGAAUACUCUACGAUCCGAGCUAUUGACCCAAACCUCGCUGUGGAUGAUUGUUCCCUUCCUCGCGGCUCCUUAUUGUUCUGGGAUAAAAGGCUGUAUCCUUGGGUUUUCCCAUUGAGUUUCAUGUAUGUAGUGAACUGCACAAAGGCGAUUAAAUCAUCUUUGUAUAUUGAUGCCUCGCGUUGCCCCGUUAACUCUUCCGGUUCCGAUCCGCCACCAGAUUCAUACGUUUAUUUUCUGGGUGAACGAACUUCGCCUCGAGAUUUCGAUGAGUCUUGCAGAAUCGAAGCUACGGUUCCUGUUAUGGUUCAGAAUAUAAGUGGCUUCUCUACUUCGGACAUCUACGAGAAGCUGUUAAAGCCGGGGUUCGAAUUGUCUUGGAGCUUCGGUUCCAAGUCGCAGCAGGCCAGUCCUAUCCAUGCCUUGUAAGUUCAAUAUAAAAAAAAAAUUAAUAUUCGUACUUCAUUAUAAUCGUCUGGUUAUAUUCUUUGUAAAUUUAAUAUACUUUUACUUUUAGUAAUCUUUAUUUUUCAGAUUUUAAAAUUUAAGUUCAAUUAUUAAAAUUAUUUUGUUAUAGGGCGAAACCGGAAACUUUUUUUAAGGGAGUCGAAAUUAAUUGUAAUUUUUUACGAUAAUAAAAAUAUAAUUUCUUCAUUUUAAUAGAUUAUAUCUUUAUAAUUUUUAAAUGUCUAAAUCAAAUUUUUAUUAUUUUUAGGGGGUCAAAAUGUAAUUUUACUUUUAUUAAUUUAAAAUUUUAAAAACUUUAAAGGGCUAAAAUGAAAUUUUUUUCAUUCUAGAGGAGCCAAGGGUCUGCCCUCUCCCUAGGUACGUCCUGAUUAUAACAUCAUUUUUUAAUUAUAUUAUUACGAAAUGAAUAUUUUUUAUUUUAAAAUAUUACACUGAUAAAUUUUAUAAUAUUAACAAUUAAACUUGAAAUUAAAAAAAAAAAAGAUAGUAUGAAGUUUUUGAAAAAAAUAUAAAGAUUAAAUUUUAAAUUUGUGAAUAGUAACCAGAAAAGAGAAAGAUGUAUAGUUUUUAUUGUUUUUUAUAAAUAUAUAUUUACCAUUUUAAUUUAAAAUGAGGUAUAUUUUCUCUUAAUUAUUUACAAAUAUUUUUCAGGUUAGGAGACUUGGAAUAUGCCUUGCAAAGUUACAUUGACAGCUUCAUCCAUUACUUAUUCAAAGGCCACCAUAUUGCCCAUGAUUCAUAUUAUGCACCUAAAAGUAUGGUUAAUUUCCAAAACUUCCUUAUUAUUUGUAAUUUUUUUUCCUUUUUUUUCCCUUAUAUUCAAUUAAUUAUUUUUUCUUACUUUUAUUGUUUUUUUAGGUACUUAUAUUUUAUGUCUUCAAAUAACAGGUAAGCUUUAAAUUUUAGCUAAAAUGAAUAUUUAAAGAGUUUAUUAGAUAUUUAAAAAAAAUACUAAUAUGUUGAAACUUAAUUUUCUUUUUAAAGGAGGAUUUAUCUUAGCAAGGACUUUGCCCGGGAUAAUUUGCUUGAUUGGACUUGUUAUUUACAAAUGGAGAAGAAGACAUUUAUGUGCGGAUGAUACGAUCGAAGAGUUUCUUGAACGUCAAAAAGAUUUGAUGCCGAUAAGGUAUUCUUAUCGCGAAAUAGAGAAAAUGAGUAAUGGUUUUAAGGAUAAAUUAGGCGAAGGCGGUUAUGGUUCGGUGUUUAAAGGAAAGCUUCGUAGUGGUUAUUUUGUAGCAAUAAAGUUAUUGGGGAAGGCAAAAGGUAAUGGCCAGGAUUUCAUCAAUGAAGUUGCUACGAUUGGGAGGAUUCAUCAUGUUAAUGUGGCGAAACUUAUUGGAUUUUGUGUUGAGGGAUCAAAACAAGCUCUCGUUUAUGAUUUUAUGCCGAAUGGAUCUCUAGAUCGGAUUAUAUUCGCAAAAGAAAAUAAGGUUGACUUAAGUUGGAAAAAGAUGUUUGAUAUUGCGCUUGGGGUGGCUCGAGGGCUCGACUACUUACAUCAAGGAUGUGACAUGCAGAUUUUACAUUUUGAUAUCAAGCCGCACAAUAUUCUUUUAGACAAGAACUUUACACCAAAAGUUGCAGAUUUCGGUCUUGCUAAACGGUUUUCAGUAGAUGAUAGCAUUGUAUCUCUAACAGCAGCACGAGGUACUAUAGGUUACAUUGCUCCUGAAUUGGUCUACAAAAACCUUGGAGGCGUCUCAUAUAAAGCCGAUGUUUACAGUUUCGGAAUGUUAUUAAUGGAAAUCAUAGGCAGGAGGAAGAAUAUGAAAACAUCUACCGAUCACGAAAGCCAAAAAUACUUCCCGUCAUGGAUUUACGAUCGAUAUUAUCAUGGAGAAGAUGUAGAUUUGGGAGAUGUUACGGAUGACGAAAAGAUUAUCGUGAAGAAGAUGGUGAUAAUAGCUUCUUGGUGUGUACAAGUAAAACCUAACGAUCGUCCUUCGAUGAGCAAAGUCUUGGAGAUGUUCGAAACGGAUGUCGAGCUCCUCCAAAUGCCUCCGAAACCUUUUCAACUUCCCUUUGAAGUAGCAACGGCUACUCAAUCCUAUGCUUCAACCAAAGAUCAACCCCAUGAUAGUUCAACUGAUGAGACAUCUUAUUUACUCUAUUCUUCAAAUGAAAUUACCG